Molecule: RNA transcript, 4083 nt
Organism: Anthonomus grandis grandis
Lineage: Eukaryota; Metazoa; Arthropoda; Insecta; Coleoptera; Curculionidae
Exons: 3
Source: RefSeq, a predicted model, not a curated record
AUCCGCCUCGCUGCUUGUGAAUUACCAUUAGCAAGACCAUACACAAAGUGCAUAUCGCACAUUUCACUAUAAGUGUACUCCAUUUUAGACAAAAAUGAGGAAAUUGUCUACUUGACAGGAAAAAAACAACACCUUAUCACUGAGCCACACCUAGUAAUGUUAAAUGAACUGGUAUUUUAUUUAUUGCAUUUUCAAAGCAACGAAAAGAAUGCGACAAAAACUAAAACGAUAAUAGUAUUUACUAAAUUUUGUUUAAUACGUAUUUACAAUUUCAACAUUCCGCAGUAUUUUUUAGAUCAGCAGUUGUUAAUGCUGUACUUGAUAUUCGACACUAUGAAUAGGUAAGUAUUACAUUUUAGGAAGAAAAUUAUUUCUUUGCUUUCGCGUGAUUUAAAAGCAUUUACUUGUAUUUUUACAGAGGGAUGCAAAAAAGCAAUUCUUAAUUUUUUUAUCGAAAACGGAGGGAGAUACGAAAAACACCCAAGAGUUGAAACAAUUCCAUCUUUAGUUGCGUCAUCCAAAAAAUGUACAGAAGGUUCAAAAAAUCUACUAGGUGCUAUUUUUUGUACAAAAAACCUAACCCGCUUACCCCGUGGGCACGUCCCUGGAAUAACAAAUCAACUGUCAUAUGUCAAAAAGAUACAUCAUUAAGAUAUCCAGAAAUGGUGUGAAUGACAUUGCAAACAGCAAAGGCAUUUCUUAGAUAUUAAUAAAAAAUCGAUUUUUUAAGAAAAUUUGAACACCCUGUAUCUCGGAAACGAAGCACUUUCGGACAUAUGUUUAUAGGAACUUUUCGUCAUAAUUUAACCCAAAAAAACCGGCAUUUCAUUUUUGUGCAAUAUUAAUGAAUCACCCUGUAUAUCUAAAAAGAAUAUUCAGGCAUUUAGAAACAAACAAUUAAAAUUCGGAAAUAAAACUCUGUUAUCACCAAAAAAAAAAUCCCCAACGAAAUAUGAUAAUUCCGCGGAUAAGUCAGAUUCAACGAGUGAAUCUCAAUUAAAUUAUUUAGAUCAUGAGCCAUAUUUUCAAGAAAAUGAAGUUCAUAUCUUACACAGAGCGGCUAGAAUAUUAAAGAAUCAAAUGCGCGAAUUUCAAUCCAAGCGGAAAGAAUUUCCCAUUCCUAAGGACAUAAAUGAGAGAAUUUUUCAAGAACAACUUCCUAAAACGUUGCUUCAAUUUAUUUCUUAUUUUAGGUGCAUAUAUCAACUAAAAAUUUGGUAUAACAGUCACAUACCAUAUAUGAAUUUUGAAGACCCAAGAAAAUAUGGAUAUAGAGUCUAAUAUAUGGACUCCAAUAUUUGCGACACAGGAUCCCGUCCCAAAGGAACUACGGAAAAUUUUAGUUCUUCGAUGUUCCGAUGGAAACUGCAAAACUAAAAAGUGUAUAUGUGUAUCCCAGGGCUUGAAGUGUUAUAACGACUGUAACUGUAUCUUAAGUUAUUAUUAUUCGCCAACUUCAUUUAUAAAUUACUCGUAGAUGGUUAAUAAAUGGCGGCAGUUGGAAGUACGUUCGGUCGGCAACGCUGUAGAGCCAAUAACACCUCUACAAAAGGACAAAGCGCUCCAAAAAAUUUUGCUCGUGACGUCACGCGUUUGGGCCAUACACUUCGGGUUGCUUUUCGGGUGAAUUCAGCUGUUGACGCUGCCGUUGUUUGUCCACGGAAGGCUGCCUGCAACGCUGCCAGACUUUGCCGAUUGCCGUGAACAUUAGGAUGAUGUAUUACUAUCUUAAAAUAAUUAAAUCUAUAUCUUUAACUGCUCUUACUUACAUUUAGUUAAAAAAAAAAAAGAGUGCAUCAUUAUUUCUCUUUUUAUAAUUUAAACUUUUUUCCAUUUCCAUUUUUUCAAAUUUUAUCAUUUAUCUAAUACCACAGAACACAAAUAUACCUUGUUACUUGCCAAUAGGAGUUCUUUCUAUAUAAAUCUGACAACGGCGCAUCUACUAGUUGUGCCACCUGAUGAAACGAGAGGUUAGGUUGUUUAUAUUUAUGUUCUGUGGUAGCCGGUAUUUCUGACGGGAUCCGCAGUAAAUAUUAGCUCAUUUUUGUGUUUUUUUCUAAAAUCGGAACUGUUUAUUUCCGCGAAACCUGUAUGUUAUAUUUAUGUAAACUCUUCGCGUACUUUUAAAUCGCAAAAUCGUAAUUUCGGACUAGAAAAAUCCUCGGAAAAACCGGUUCUCGGUCGCGAUUUUAUUUGUUUAUAUCAGACUUUAAUACUUUAGUUCGUGUUUAAUUUAAUGUUUUUCUCCUAGUUCACCUUGUAGUUAAUACCAGAGUGUAAAUAUGCCUCAAAAGUGUUGUGUUCCGGGUUGUAACAGAAACUAUAAAAACGGACCUAAAGUGCAUGUCUUCGGUUUUCCUAAUGAUAUACCUAAAUCUAAGGGGAAAAUGGGUAAAAGCCAUACACAGAGAUGACUUUGAGCCCACAAACAACACCAAAGUAUGUGAAGCUCAUUUUCUUGAAGGUAGUAUAAUAAAGAGUACUAUAUUAUUCGUUUUAUUAUACAUAUUAAGUUCAAGAUUCCAACACAGGUAAAAUUUUUACAAUAGAAUUACUAAAACCACGGCUGAAACUUUUGAAACUUUUUUAUAUAGCGAGCCAGGGACGGAACUCUGUAACAAAAAUAGCGAAAACGAUUCUCUAUAAUCCUUAUCGCUUGGCCAUUUGUACUCCGUAACUACAAUCGGAUUAAAUCGCCACUGAUCGCGUGCGCUCGGAAUUUCUUUAAAUAAGGACAGAUAAAAUGUUCUCCUUAUUAAAAAGCUACUAUUUUCUUCUCACUCUAUUGUAUGUCGAAUUUCUACUUAUCUCUGUCUACUUUCAUGGAGUAGGUCACGUAAGGUAGGAAAUUUAUUAUUUACUUUUUUUUAGGUUAGUUUUUAUUAAUAUAGCUACGUACUACUUUAUUUUUCUUCUUUGUGAUAAUUUUUAAUUUGUGGAGUUUCUUAAAGACAAUUAAGUUAAAAUGGAUCUUCCAAUUCCAAUUAACAGAGCCCCAAAAACCAGCCCUGUGCAGUGGCAAGUGCUGGUCGAGUAUUUGAUGAAUUACCCAGAAAUGCUUACCAAGGCAUUUUCUGGGGUAAAUGGCCGGCAGCACUAUAAGAAAAUGUGGAGUGAAGCAGCCACCCAACUAAAUAGUAUGGGUUAUGGGUCUAAAACCCCAGAUAAGUGGAUAGAGGUAUACUUACAGUUAAAGCUAUAUGAUGUAAAUAUAAAUAUAUACAAGAUACAGACUUGUUGUGUAACUAUAUACAUGUAGUAUGUAAAAUUACAACAUUUUAAUAAUUGUCAAUGCAAUAAUAAUUGUGAUUAUUUGGUUUGAGGCAUUUUCCAAAUGGAAAAGCAAAGUUAAAGUAAAGGCUCAAACCAUAAAAUUGGCCAUGAACAGGACAGGUGGAGGAGGUCCAGUACCUCAACUGACUCCCAUCGAAGAAAAGUUAAUGGGUUUAAUUGGAUGGUCAGCUGUAGAAGGAGAUGCUACAGAGGAGUUAGGAUUAGUGACCCAAGAAAGCAUGGAAAAAAAAGGUAAUACUAGAAAAGCCUCGGGAACAGCAAUUGCAAGUACAUCUACCACAGCACCACAAUCCACACAAGUUAACGAAAAUAUAGAAGCUCAGAUAUGUGAACUACCUCCUUUGGUAGCAAUUGGCAGUGAAGAAACUCACUUACAGAAAAAUUGUAUAAAACGAAAGUUUAUAGGAAAGAUAAAUAAACAAAAUAAAAUUAGCAAAAUAGCUAUGAAGAAUGAUAAUAAAACACUCUUAAUGAUGCAUGAGGAGACUCUAAAAGUACUAAAGGAAAUUAAUGAAAAUCUUGCAAUAAUGGCAAAAAAUUCUGGGAAUUCAAAAUGCUGCUGUAAAUGCCAAUCUAAUUAAAUACAGCAUUUUGAUUUUAUUUAUGAUAAUAUGUAUAUCUAAUAAUCCGUCCACUUUAAGUUACACUGUAUAAAUAUAUUAUGUAUUUAAGUUCCCUUUAUAAACAUGAGUUCCUAUUUUUGUAAUGAAUUAAUAGUUUUGUUGUGGAUAUAAAUUAUUAGAUGUUCACCUGGAUGAUCCUUAUUUAAUAAAAGUGUUUUUAAUAUUA